RNAcentral lists this long non-coding RNA (337 nucleotides) under Olea europaea (common olive). Its description in RNAcentral is "long non-coding RNA (OEUR_LNC007136)". Lineage: Eukaryota; Viridiplantae; Streptophyta; Magnoliopsida; Lamiales; Oleaceae. The record is from RNAcentral.
GGGUUUGUCUCAUCCAAUACAAAGGAGGAAUUAACUUAGCAUACUGUUGGAAUUAAAUAAAUAGAAGUGGAACGACAUCAUCAAAAAUUGAUAGAAGAUGAAUAACUCCAAUAGUGCGUGCCGCCUUCCACUCUGUUCAGUCGUUUCUCCAAUCCCAACCAGCUUUUUGUUCAUGUAUAUAUGAUACAAUUCAGCAGCCACAAUGUUUAUCUCCCAACAGAUGCCGAUCUCUUGUAAUUUGUAUAAUGAAAUUCAGCAACCAAAUCCAAAUUGCCUUAUUUAAAUUUGUCUUCCCAAUCCUAGGCAGCCGUCGGCGUGUUUAUGUAUGUGUCUUUAA